CAAUAGCGUAUAUUAAAGUUGUUGCAGUUAAAAAGCUCGUAGUUGGAUUUCUGGUAGGAGCGACCGUGCCGAACUUGAUUGUUCGUGUAUUGUGUUGUCUUCAGCCAUCCUCGUGGAGAACUUUUCGGGCAUUAAUUUGUCGGGAUUGGGACCCGCGUCGUUUACUGUGAAAAAAUUAGAGUGUUUAAAGCAGGCAAUCGCUUGAAUACAUUAGCAUGGAAUAAUAAGAUAGGACUUUGGUACUAUUUUGUUGGUUUGCAUACCAAAUUAAUGAUCAACAGGAACAGUUUGAGGAUAUUCGUAUGAACAUGUCAGAGGUGAAAUUCUUGGAUUUUGAUCAGACGAACUACUGCGAAAGCAUUUAUCAAGGAUGUUUUCAUUAA
Molecule: ribosomal RNA, 383 nt
Filed under: uncultured eukaryote
Lineage: Eukaryota
Description: partial 18S ribosomal RNA
Rfam family: Eukaryotic small subunit ribosomal RNA
Source: RNAcentral